RNAcentral lists this ribosomal RNA (642 nucleotides) under Hemsleya lijiangensis. RNAcentral's name for it is "eukaryotic LSU rRNA". The stretch from base 237 to 392 matches the Rfam family "5.8S ribosomal RNA". Lineage: Eukaryota; Viridiplantae; Streptophyta; Magnoliopsida; Cucurbitales; Cucurbitaceae. The record is from RNAcentral.
UUGUCGAUGCCUAAACAUCAGAACGACCCGCGAACAUGUUUAACAACCGGGGGCGUGGUGGUCUGAGAGGGCCGCCCCGUCCCUCCCCCGCACCGGUGGUCGGGGCGCUUGCGCCUCACCCCGUCACGGGUAACCAAACCCCGGCGCAGGUCGCGCCAAGGAACAAAAACGAAAUCGCUUGCCCCCGGGCCCGGUCACGGUGUUCCGUGGGCAACGCAUUCUGUCGUAUUCACAACGACUCUCGGCAACGGAUAUCUCGGCUCUCGCAUCGAUGAAGAACGUAGCGAAAUGCGAUACUUGGUGUGAAUUGCAGGAUCCCGCGAACCACCGAGUCUUUGAACGCAAGUUGCGCCCGGAGCCAUCUGGCCGAGGGCACGUCUGCCUGGGCGUCACGCAUCGCUGCCCCCACGCAACCCCCCACCCAUGCGGUGGCCGGGUCGUGGGGGCACACACUGGCCUCCCGUGCGCACCGUCGCGCGGAUGGCUUAAAUACGAGUCCUCGGCGCCUGUCGUCGUGACACAACGGUGGUUGCAUAACGAACCGCGUCGCGACCCCAGCCGCGCCACCCUGAGGCCUCCGGUUGCCACGUGCAACGAGACCCCAAGAAGGCCGUCCACGACGGCUCUCUCGACGCGACCCCA